RNAcentral lists this ribosomal RNA (219 nucleotides) under Serratia marcescens. Its description in RNAcentral is "partial 16S ribosomal RNA". It matches the Rfam family "Bacterial small subunit ribosomal RNA", at positions 1 to 218 of the family's 1533-position model. The record is from RNAcentral. RNAcentral also lists the same sequence under 1 other name. Lineage: Bacteria; Pseudomonadati; Pseudomonadota; Gammaproteobacteria; Enterobacterales; Yersiniaceae.
UAAUUGAAGAGUUUGAUCAUGGCUCAGAUUGAACGCUGGCGGCAGGCUUAACACAUGCAAGUCGAGCGGUAGCACAGGGGAGCUUGCUCCCCGGGUGACGAGCGGCGGACGGGUGAGUAAUGUCUGGGAAACUGCCUGAUGGAGGGGGAUAACUACUGGAAACGGUAGCUAAUACCGCAUAACGUCGCAAGACCAAAGAGGGGGACCUUCGGGCCUCUU